Molecule: unclassified non-coding RNA, 353 nt
Organism: Panthera pardus (leopard)
Lineage: Eukaryota; Metazoa; Chordata; Mammalia; Carnivora; Felidae
Gene: 7SK
Rfam family: 7SK RNA
About the family: 7SK was discovered as an abundant small nuclear RNA in the mid-70s but a possible function has only recently been suggested. Two independent studies have found that 7SK RNA binds the CDK9/cyclin T complex (known as elongation factor P-TEFb).
Source: Ensembl
GGAUGUGAGGAUGAUGUGGCUGCAGCAUCUGCCACCCCAUUGAUUGCCAGGGUUGAUUCCUCUGAUCUGGCUGGCUAGGCAGAUGUCCCCUUCCUCCCUUAGUGCUCCAUGUGCAUCCUUCUAGAAAAUGUGUGCUCAGUGGGAGAGGAUGACUUUCCCAGGUAGAAGAGGAUGGUUCUUGGGUCAAGGGUAUAUGAGAAGCUUCGCCCCUCUGCUAGAACCUCCAAACAAGUUCUUUACUAAGACAAACCUCAUAGGACUGGUGUAAGUAUUAAAUGACUAUACAUGUAGCACAUAGAAUAAUACUGACCCAUGAUAUGUACUAUAAAGUGUUAAAGGGUCAAUUAUUUUCU